Molecule: non-coding RNA, 91 nt
Filed under: Microvirga massiliensis
Lineage: Bacteria; Pseudomonadati; Pseudomonadota; Alphaproteobacteria; Hyphomicrobiales; Methylobacteriaceae
Description: TPP riboswitch (THI element)
Rfam family: TPP riboswitch aptamer (THI element)
About the family: Vitamin B(1) in its active form thiamin pyrophosphate (TPP) is an essential coenzyme that is synthesised by coupling of pyrimidine and thiazole moieties in bacteria. The previously detected thiamin-regulatory element, thi box was extended, resulting in a new, highly conserved RNA secondary structure, the THI element, which is widely distributed in eubacteria and also occurs in some archaea.
Source: RNAcentral
UCCGAGGGGAGCUCCGGAAGGAGCUGAGAUUGGGCUAGUCAUCCGCCCUGACCCUUGAACCUGAUCCGGGUCAUGCCGGCGGAGGGACUGG